Molecule: small nucleolar RNA, 85 nt
Organism: Thalassophryne amazonica
Lineage: Eukaryota; Metazoa; Chordata; Actinopteri; Batrachoidiformes; Batrachoididae
Product: small nucleolar RNA U83B
Exons: 1
Source: RefSeq, a predicted model, not a curated record
CAUAUUCAGUGAUGAAUCUCGAAUCUGCAUUGGGCAAGGUGAUGAUGCUGGAACUUUUGUUUGGUGACUUCCUGAAGAGAACAUG